UACGUAGGGUGCGAGCGUUAAUCGGAAUUACUGGGCGUAAAGCGUGCGCAGGCUGUUCUGUAAGUCAGAUGUGAAAUCCCCGAGCUCAACUUGGGAACUGCGUUUGAAACUACAGGACUAGAAUAUGUCAGAGGGGGUAGAAUUCCAACGUGUAGCAGUUGAAAUGCGUAGAGAGUGUGGAGGAAUACCAAUGGCGAAGGCAGCCCCCUGGGAUAAU
This 217-nucleotide ribosomal RNA is filed under the name uncultured bacterium. RNAcentral describes it as "partial 16S ribosomal RNA". It matches the Rfam family "Bacterial small subunit ribosomal RNA", at positions 524 to 738 of the family's 1533-position model. The record is from RNAcentral.